CGCGUGAACUGUAGUUCAUGGAUAUUGGACACUUACGUUCUCUUUUCCGAAUGGUCCGUGUCUUUCGCUGACUUUUCCUUUGCGGUGUCGGUCUCUUUCUUCUUGAUUUGUAAAGAUGGUGACCCUUCAUUUCCCAUAUAUGCUGCAUUAUUUCUAGCUUUCAAAUAUCAUCAGACACACACGUUCCCUUAGAGGGAACGUCCUCUCCGUUCUGCUGUGGCCUCCGUCUACACUGCAGCCAGUCCGUCCUCAGAUCAAUAACCUUUGCUUAUUUUAUUCUGUCCUGUAGGAGAGUACUUACUUUGUCAGGCAUUGUAGUUGGCUUUGUUGACGGUCAUCAUCCCAUUCAGCGCUCCAACAAUACCACAAGGUGGUGGUAUGACCCGCAUUUUGUGGAUCGGGAUACGGAGGCCGGAGGGCAUCUGAUUCCAGGCCCUUGCUUAUUUCACAGAUCCACCAGAGCAUUUAGAUUGAUGCCAAUUACUAACCCAGAGCCUGGAGACCCAAAGAAACUGCCUUUCCUAAGAACCUCCCUGAGUCUGUGGGUGCCUAUCCAGACCCUCGCUUAAGGAGCCUUCCUGCUUUCUUCACGGAGAGUUCCAGGGCUUCAGAGGCUUGAAGCUGCGUGUAAAAGUGUGUUUAUACCGUUUUCUUGGGAGAGGAUCCAGAGGUGACAUCAGGCUCUCAAACACAAAAACGGUGAAACCCAAAAAGUGGGGGGGGGGGCUCCAUUUUGUGUUCUCUCCAGUGGUUCCCCAACUUUUUUUCUUACCUCAGAGGCAUAUAGAAUUCUCAAAAGAAUAUGAGGAUGUAAAAUUCUGCAAAGUAAGCCCAUUAAAAAGAAACUAACCACUAUCACAACACUCCCAUAUCAUAAAAGGACAUUUUAACCACCCCCCCUCCCAACCAAAUCAAGGACAAAUUCUUGGGAGGGGGGUAGUGACAGGCCUUGAAGUAGAUAAAGGGGCUGUAACACACUGUCCUCCUGGUCCCUUGUGCUCUUUUGUCCUUGACGGAAAGUGGCAGUAUGGCUCUGCCUUUGGAAAGCUCCCUCUGCACCUUCUGCACAGAGAGGCAGCUGCUUAGAGCCUGUGUCCUGGAAGCUGCAGACAUUUCUCCCGAAAGGCA
Molecule: long non-coding RNA, 1128 nt
Filed under: Lynx canadensis (Canada lynx)
Lineage: Eukaryota; Metazoa; Chordata; Mammalia; Carnivora; Felidae
Description: lncRNA (ENSLCNG00005018845.1)
Source: RNAcentral